AAUACAGCUCAAUUUCAUCUUCCAUUAAUAUUUUUCUAUUUUUCCACGUCACUCUUUCUCAAUCACCAGAACAAUUAAAGUUUUUUCUCUGUUAGCAGAUCAAACAUAAAAAUAAACAUAUGCCUAGCCCAACCAAAAUAAACACGCGUGUAAAAGCCCUCAGACACUUUAUUGGAUCCAAAAACCACCGUAAACCGCCGUAAAAAUCACCAACGGAUAAGAAUGAUGCGGAGGUGGCGGAGGAAGAAGCUGCCGAGGUUGAAGUCGAUUGAAGAGGUUGUGACUACAUUGCAGCAAGCUUCACAGUAUCCAUUAGAUCGAAUAGAUUUGUCAGCUCGUAAACUGAAAUUGCUCCCUGAAGAAUUUGAAAACAUUCAAGGUCUCCUUGUCCUUAAUCUCUAUAACAAUCAGUUGAGGUUAUAGGUUUUGGGUUGAUUGAGAAAAAACGAGGCAAAGGAAAAAUUUAAUAGCAAUUCUCCACAUGUCUCCUUGGAUGGCACUGCUGGUGGCAUUAAGGAAUUAUAAUCUCUCAAUUCAGAACUUACGAUACAUGGCUUAAGCACCUCUGGAGAAAAGGUCAAGCUCUUGCUUUUCCUUCUUGGCAUGAAUCAUCUCACAUAUGUUUGGCCAUCCUCAACAGUAGAACAGUUACCUGAAAUGGGGCGAGUGAUAUAGAAUUCUAAGAGUUUUUGUUAUUCCCGAAAUUGGGAAUAUGAAGAACCGUAUGUGCCGCAUCCUUCCAUUGCCAAGACGUCUAAUCAUUGUACAAUAGAAAUGACUGAUUUGAUACCUUCAUUCCUUAGUCAAGUCGACGUCUAUGUGUUACAAGAAUUACCUGAAGAGUUGGGAGCAUUGGAGCAUUUCCUACCCACAUGGGACAACAGUCAUCAUCAGAUGUUCCCAAGAAACGAGAUGAGGAGUCGAUAGAUAUAAAGGGCACUAAGAAUGAGACUGGAUUCUCAUGUAGCUCUCUCUGGUUUGGGAAUCCUCCUAUUUGGACAUCGAAGUUCAAACUUUGGGGCAAUUGUACUACAAGGAACAAGGAUUCAUCUUAGUUAUCCUUCCAGAUUAA
This is a long non-coding RNA of Arabidopsis lyrata subsp. lyrata, 1072 nucleotides long. RefSeq lists it as uncharacterized. The transcript is spliced from 3 exons. NCBI's taxonomy places the organism in Eukaryota, Viridiplantae, Streptophyta, Magnoliopsida, Brassicales, Brassicaceae. The record is from RefSeq and is a predicted model, not a curated record.